This 466-nucleotide ribosomal RNA is filed under the name uncultured bacterium. Its description in RNAcentral is "partial 16S ribosomal RNA". It matches the Rfam family "Bacterial small subunit ribosomal RNA", at positions 29 to 507 of the family's 1533-position model. The record is from RNAcentral.
AUGAACGCUGGCGGCGUGCUUAACACAUGCCAGUCGAACGGAAAGGCCAGUGCUUGCACUGGUGCUCGAGUGGCGAACGGGUGAGUAACACGUGGGUGAUCUGCCCUGCACUUUGGGAUAAGCCUGGGAAACUGGGUCUAAUACCAGAUAGGACCAUGCUUUGGAUGGUGUGGUGGAAAGUUUUUUCGGUGUGGGAUGAGCUUGCGGCCUAUCAGCUUGUUGGUGGGGUAAUGGCCUACCAAGGCGUCGACGGGUAGCCGGCCUGAGAGGGUGUACGGCCACAUUGGGACUGAGAUACGGCCCAGACUCCUACGGGAGGCAGCAGUGGGGAAUAUUGCACAAUGGGCGCAAGCCUGAUGCAGCGACGCCGCGUGGGGGAUGACGGCCUUCGGGUUGUAAACUCCUUUCGCAACUGACGAAGCUUUUUGUGACGGUAGGUUGAGAAGAAGCACCGGCUAACUACGUG